GGAGGGACCACAGGCGUGGUGCAACAGCAGUAGCAGGGGAGCACAAGUAGAGCUUCUAUUGCAGGAUCAUCGCAUGCACGACAGGAGUAGAUCCUAGCUUAUGUUCCCUUCUUGAAAUCUAGGUUUUAGGGAGUAUACCCUUGUAUUUUGUAAACAUGAAAAUGUUUGUAUAACUUAAUUUAUAUAAUAAAUGUUUAAACUUGAUUGGAUGAAUUUAACGUUGUAGUUCAUAUAACCAUAUUUCAUGUCUAUGUAUUUAUAUUUAUUUAA
Molecule: long non-coding RNA, 270 nt
Organism: Populus trichocarpa (black cottonwood)
Lineage: Eukaryota; Viridiplantae; Streptophyta; Magnoliopsida; Malpighiales; Salicaceae
Exons: 2
Source: RefSeq, a predicted model, not a curated record